GACGAACGCUGGCGGCGUGCCUAAUACAUGCGAGUAGAACGCACAGUUUAUACCGUAGCUUGCUACACCAUAGACUGUGAGUUGCGAACGGGUGAGUAACGCGUAGGUAACCUGCCUGGUAGCGGGGGAUAACUAUUGGAAACGAUAGCUAAUACCGCAUAAUAUUAAUUAUUGCAUGAUAAUUGAUUGAAAGAUGCAACUGCAUCACUACCAGAUGGACCUGCGUUGUAUUAGCUAGUAGGUGAGGUAACGGCUCACCUAGGCGACGAUACAUAGCCGACCUGAGAGGGUGAUAGGCCACACUGGGACUGAGACACGGCCCAGACUCCUACGGGAGGCAGCAGUAGGGAAUCUUCGGCAAUGGACGAAAGUCUGACCGAGCAACGCCGCGUGAGUGAAGAAGGUUUUCGGAUCGUAAAGCUCUGUUGUAAGAGAAGAACGGGUGUGAGAGUGGAAAGUUCACACUGUGACGGUAUCUUACCAGAAAGGGACGGCUAACUACGUG
This 505-nucleotide ribosomal RNA is filed under the name uncultured bacterium. Its description in RNAcentral is "partial 16S ribosomal RNA". It matches the Rfam family "Bacterial small subunit ribosomal RNA", at positions 28 to 507 of the family's 1533-position model. The record is from RNAcentral.